Non-coding RNA from Podarcis lilfordi (Lilford's wall lizard), 73 nucleotides. Lineage: Eukaryota; Metazoa; Chordata; Lepidosauria; Squamata; Lacertidae. The record is from the annotation of a GenBank genome assembly.
UGAUAGCUUAGUUGGUAGAGCAUUCGAUUCUUAAUCUCGUGGCUGUGAGUUUGAGCUCCACAUUGGAUAAAAA